GACGAACGCUGGCGGCGUGCUUAACACAUGCAAGUCGAACGGAAAGGCCCUGCUUUUGUGGGGUGCUCGAGUGGCGAACGGGUGAGUAACACGUGAGUAACCUGCCCUUGACUUUGGGAUAACUUCAGGAAACUGGGGCUAAUACCGGAUAGGAGCUCCUGCUGCAUGGUGGGGGUUGGAAAUUUUCGGCGGUUGGGGAUGGACUCGCGGCUUAUCAGCUUGUUGGUGGGGUAGUGGCUUACCAAGGCUUUGACUGGUAGCCGGCCUGAGAGGGUGACCGGCCACAUUGGGACUGAGAUACGGCCCAGACUCCUACGGGAGGCAGCAGUGGGGAAUAUUGCACAAUGGGCGGAAGCCUGAUGCAGCAACGCCGCGUGCGGGAUGACGGCCUUCGGGUUGUAAACCGCUUUCGCCUGUGACGAAGCGUGAGUGACGGUAAUGGGUAAAGAAGCACCGGCUAACUACGUG
Molecule: ribosomal RNA, 468 nt
Filed under: uncultured bacterium
Lineage: Bacteria
Description: partial 16S ribosomal RNA
Rfam family: Bacterial small subunit ribosomal RNA
Source: RNAcentral